This 366-nucleotide ribosomal RNA is filed under the name uncultured organism. RNAcentral describes it as "bacterial SSU rRNA". It matches the Rfam family "Bacterial small subunit ribosomal RNA", at positions 526 to 896 of the family's 1533-position model. The record is from RNAcentral.
CGGAGGAUCCAAGCGUUAUCCGGAAUCAUUGGGUUUAAAGGGUCCGUAGGCGGGUUUAUAAGUCAGUGGUGAAAGCCCAUCGCUCAACGAUGGAACGGCCAUUGAUACUGUAGAUCUUGAAUUAUUAGGAAGUAACUAGAAUAUGUAGUGUAGCGGUGAAAUGCUUAGAGAUUACAUGGAAUACCAAUUGCGAAGGCAGGUUACUACUAAUGGAUUGACGCUGAUGGACGAAAGCGUGGGUAGCGAACAGGAUUAGAUACCCUGGUAGUCCACGCCGUAAACGAUGGAUACUAGCUGUUCGGAGCAAUCUGAGUGGCUAAGCGAAAGUGAUAAGUAUCCCACCUGGGGAGUACGUUCGCAUGAAUG